RNAcentral lists this ribosomal RNA (1185 nucleotides) under Triticum aestivum (bread wheat). RNAcentral's name for it is "partial small subunit ribosomal RNA". Lineage: Eukaryota; Viridiplantae; Streptophyta; Magnoliopsida; Poales; Poaceae. The record is from RNAcentral.
AUGGCAUCAUCUGCUACCAUCAGUUCAGUUGGCGCUCAGGCUGCUCUGGUUUCAAAGCCAAGGAAUCAUGGCAUCGGUGGCUUAAAGGCGUCCUCAUCAAUUAACUUCGAAUUGGGAUCCUCGUUCCUGGGCAAGACUGGGUCUCUUCGGGCAUCUGUUACCACAAGGGUUGUGCCCAAGGCGAAGUCUGGGGCUCGGAUACUACCGGAGGCAUCUUACAAAGUGGCGGUACUUGGUGCUGCUGGGGGCAUCGGCCAACCAUUGGGCCUGCUGAUCAAGAUGUCUCCUCUGGUCUCGGAGCUGCGACUGUACGAUAUUGCAAAUGUCAAGGGAGUCGCUGCUGAUCUCAGCCACUGCAACACACCUUCUCAGGUCAUGGACUUCACUGGCCCAGCGGAAUUAGCCAGCUGCUUGAAAGGUGUGGAUGUUGUUGUCAUCCCCGCCGGGGUCCCUAGAAAGCCUGGGAUGACUCGUGAUGAUCUUUUCAACAUCAAUGCGGGCAUCGUCAAGUCACUUAUCGAGGCUGUUGCAGACAAUUGCCCUGAUGCCUUUAUCCAUAUUAUCAGCAACCCAGUCAACUCCACAGUGCCGAUUGCUGCUGAGAUUCUGAAACAGAAGGGUGUCUACAAUCCCAAGAAGCUUUUUGGGGUUUCCACCCUAGAUGUUGUCCGAGCUAACACAUUCGUAGCUCAGAAGAAGGGCCUCAAGCUCAUUGAUGUUGAUGUCCCAGUUGUUGGUGGUCAUGCUGGAAUUACAAUCCUGCCUUUGUUGUCAAAGACGAGGCCAUCUGUCACCUUCACGGAUGAGGAAACUGAACAGCUGGCGAAGAGGAUACAGAACGCUGGGACAGAGGUGGUGGAGGCGAAAGCGGGUGCUGGAUCUGCUACCCUGUCCAUGGCUUAUGCUGCUGCCAGAUUUGUUGAGUCUUCACUCCGUGCACUGGCUGGUGAUCCAGAUGUUUAUGAGUGCACGUAUGUUCAGUCUGAGUUAACUGAGCUGCCAUUCUUUGCGUCCAGAGUUAAGAUUGGCAAGAAUGGUGUUGAGUCCAUCAUUUCUUUGGACCUGGAGGGAAUAACUGAGUACGAGGCCAAUGCACUCGAGGCAUUGAAGCCUGAGCUGAAGGCCAGCAUCGAGAAGGGCAUCGAGUUUGCGCACAAACAGCAGGGAGCCGCCGCAUCUGUUUGA